Long non-coding RNA from Eriocheir sinensis (Chinese mitten crab), 899 nucleotides. RefSeq lists it as uncharacterized. The transcript is spliced from 3 exons. Lineage: Eukaryota; Metazoa; Arthropoda; Malacostraca; Decapoda; Varunidae. The record is from RefSeq and is a predicted model, not a curated record.
GGGUCACACAACAGUUUUCAUGUCAUGCUUUCUUAGUUAUAUAAAUAGGAAUAGGAUUGUAAGGCAAAACUACAAUAUCAGUAGGUGUAGGAAGCCAUAAUAAAAAUUGAGAUAAAUAAUAAUAGUAUAUUUAUUUGAUGAUUUCUUUUCUAAAAACUUAAUGAGGAAUAAUUCUCCCUUCAAAAUUUUCCUAAUACAGAUAUGAAAGAAAUGUUUGACCUUUGAUUAUUUUCCUUAAAGAAAUGCUUUCUGAAGUGAAAUUUUGUUUAUCUUUCAUAACAUUCCUCAUACAGCUUUUAAUCAAGGUUAUAGUAGGAAGAGGAAGUGGGUUAGUGGUAAAGGUACAGGUGGGGGAAUAGGUAAGACAGUAGGAGUGUACAGUUGUAUGGUGAAGAUUCGUUGGUUGUUGUCCUGCCGCCAAGAAGCUGUGUGACUGAUGUACAGACACGGAGACAUGAUGGCAAGGAGGUGACGGACAGACCAGACCAUAAUCCUGUGCAGCUAUGACUCAGGGCAGAGGCUAAGCUCCAUAUUCUUAACCCAUCCGCUGCGAUUGGCAUGGGUUUCGCUUUCACUGGUAGCCUGGUAACAUAUACUCCCAGGUCUUUCUUUGCCUCUGUGGUGGAUAGUGGAGUGUUUCCCAUGUGAUAUUGGUAUGCUGGAUAUCCCUUCACUGGUAGCCUGGUAACAUACACUCCCAGGUCUUUCUCUGCCUCUGUGGUGGAUAGUGGAGUGUUUCCCAUGUGGUAUUGGUGUGCUGGAUAUCCCUUCACUGGUAGCCUGGUAACAUACACUCCCAGGUCUUUCUCUGCCUCUGUGGUGGAUAGUGGAGUGUUUCCCAGGUGGUAUUGGUGUGCUGGAUAUCCCUUCACUGGUAGCCUGGUAACAUACACUCCCAG